AUGCAGACAUGGGGUGGGAACAGAGAGUCGUGGAGUGCCCCCUGGACUGAGCCCCAGGCCGGUGGUCUGGCUGAGCAGUUGAUGUUGGGCUCUCUUACUCACGUGGGUUGGAGGACGUGGGACGAGGCCCUUUCUGGCCUUUUCUUUCCCCUUCCCUGCGUGCGCGUUGGCAACGCGUGUGGCUGGAAGAGUUCCCUGCCUAGGCAGCGAGGGGCUGCUGUGGAGGAAAGGGGGGGCUGGCAAGAGCAGGCGUCAACGGCUGUGCCCCUCCUGCUGCCCUGGAGGGGUUUGUCAGAGGGACUCCAAGCAGCUGGGAAGUCCUCGUGUGUUUGGAGGUCUGCUUUCACCUUCUGCCUUUCACUUACAGAAAUGGAGCUUGCCAAAACGCUGCAAGCCUUAGCCACUGCCUUCAGGAAGACCAGCGCUCAAGAGGUGAGCUGCUGGAGAUGGGCAGCCCCCAAAGCCCACCUCGCAAACCCCAGCGCCCUGCUUCCUGCGCUCCCACGCCACCUGCCCGGUGGGGGGCUUUGUCCUGCCAGGCCAGCUGGGGUGGGCCAGCUUCUGCAGGCCUCCCGUCUUGGACAGCUUCUGCAGGCCUCCCGUCUCCCUCCUGGCACUCUCUCUGCAGCCUGGCACAACAGUGUCCCAGCCCAGGCCUGGGCUUUUGUCAGGAACAGGCACACACGCCGAGCCGCUUGCUCUUCGCCCGCCUUGAAGGAGAUACCUCCCUGGUCUCGCCAGCUCGAGUUCAGUCUCAGCAGCGUGUGUUUUCUCGUUUUGCAGGCACCCGUGCCACCCCUGGCCACUGCUUUGCCCACUCUGGAGGAUGAUGCAGCUCACGGGCAAGGCAUUGGGCCAGGCGAUGAGGAACAAAAGCAAAGCCUUCAGGUAGGAGAGCCGCCCAAGGCAGACGCUCGUCCCUGUACCCACACAGGCUUCUUCAUGCACACGCGCAUGCAUGCGCAGUCGGGACCCAGGCGACUGGCUGCACAGUGGCUCUGGUCAGUAGGAAGCAAAUGCUGGCCAUCUCCCUGCUCCCUGGCACCACAGGCAGCUCGGAAGGGAUAG
RNAcentral lists this long non-coding RNA (1068 nucleotides) under Apteryx haastii (Great spotted kiwi). Its description in RNAcentral is "lncRNA (ENSAHAG00000010650.1)". Lineage: Eukaryota; Metazoa; Chordata; Aves; Apterygiformes; Apterygidae. The record is from RNAcentral.